GGCUCAGGAUGAACGCUAGCGACAGGCUUAACACAUGCAAGUCGAGGGGCAGCGGGGGUAGCGAUACCCGCCGGCGACCGGCGCACGGGUGAGUAACGCGUAUGCAACUUGCCUAUCAGAGGGGGAUAACCCGGCGAAAGUCGGACUAAUACCGCAUGAAGCAGGGGCCCCGCAUGGGGAUAUUUGCUAAAGAUUCAUCGCUGAUAGAUAGGCAUGCGUUCCAUUAGGCAGUUGGCGGGGUAACGGCCCACCAAACCGACGAUGGAUAGGGGUUCUGAGAGGAAGGUCCCCCACAUUGGUACUGAGACACGGACCAAACUCCUACGGGAGGCAGCAGUGAGGAAUAUUGGUCAAUGGCCGAGAGGCUGAACCAGCCAAGUCGCGUGAGGGAUGAAGGUUCUAUGGAUCGUAAACCUCUUUUAUAAGGGAAUAAAGUGCGGGACGUGUCCCGUUUUGUAUGUACCUUAUGAAUAAGGAUCGGCUAACUCCGUGCCAGCAGCCGCGGUAAUACGGAGGAUCCGAGCGUUAUCCGGAUUUAUUGGGUUUAAAGGGUGCGUAGGCGGCCUUUUAAGUCAGCGGUGAAAGUCUGUGGCUCAACCAUAGAAUUGCCGUUGAAACUGGGGGGCUUGAGUAUGUUUGAGGCAGGCGGAAUGCGUGGUGUAGCGGUGAAAUGCAUAGAUAUCACGCAGAACCCCCGAUUGCGAAGGCAGCCUGCCAAGCCAUUACUGACGCUGAUGCACGAAAGCGUGGGGAUCAAACAGGAUUAGAUACCCUGGUAGUCCACGCAGUAAACGAUGAUCACUAGCUGUUUGCGAUACACUGUAAGCGGCACAGCGAAAGCGUUAAGUGAUCCACCUGGGGAGUACGCCGGCAACGGUGAAACUCAAAGGAAUUGACGGGGGCCCGCACAAGCGGAGGAACAUGUGGUUUAAUUCGAUGAUACGCGAGGAACCUUACCCGGGUUUGAACGCAUUCGGACCGAGGUGGAAACACCUUUUCUAGCAAUAGCCGUUUGCGAGGUGCUGCAUGGUUGUCGUCAGCUCGUGCCGUGAGGUGUCGGCUUAAGUGCCAUAACGAGCGCAACCCUUGCCACUAGUUACUAACAGGUAAAGCUGAGGACUCUGGUGGGACUGCCAGCGUAAGCUGCGAGGAAGGCGGGGAUGACGUCAAAUCAGCACGGCCCUUACAUCCGGGGCGACACACGUGUUACAAUGGCGUGGACAAAGGGAAGCCACCUGGCGACAGGGAGCGAAUCCCCAAACCACGUCUCAGUUCGGAUCGGAGUCUGCAACCCGACUCCGUGAAGCUGGAUUCGCUAGUAAUCGCGCAUCAGCCAUGGCGCGGUGAAUACGUUCCCGGGCCUUGUACACACCGCCCGUCAAGCCAUGGGAGCCGGGGGUACCUGAAGUCCGUAACCGCGAGGAUCGGCCUAGGGUA
This 1437-nucleotide ribosomal RNA is filed under the name uncultured organism. RNAcentral describes it as "16S ribosomal RNA". It matches the Rfam family "Bacterial small subunit ribosomal RNA". The record is from RNAcentral.